Molecule: transfer RNA, 65 nt
Filed under: Hylurgus ligniperda
Lineage: Eukaryota; Metazoa; Arthropoda; Insecta; Coleoptera; Curculionidae
Description: tRNA-Tyr
Source: RNAcentral
GGUAAGAUGGCUGAUUUAAGGCGAUAAAUUGUAAAUUUAUUUAUGAAGAGAAACUUCUUUUAUCA